This is a long non-coding RNA of Lacerta agilis (Sand lizard), 199 nucleotides long. RefSeq lists it as uncharacterized. The transcript is spliced from 2 exons. NCBI's taxonomy places the organism in Eukaryota, Metazoa, Chordata, Lepidosauria, Squamata, Lacertidae. The record is from RefSeq and is a predicted model, not a curated record.
AGAUUUGGAGAAAAUGUCAUCUUUGAUGUUCAUCAUAGCAUUUUAUAGAAACUAAUUGGGAAAUACAAUCUCUUUGUAGACUUUUUCAUUCAUUCCUCUUCCACAUUCCAAGGGAGCACAUGGAGCACCGAUUGUGUGACCACUUUUGUCCUGCCUCUGAGGAAUUGUCCAGGGCUGUGUGAGUUCCAUGAUCCCAUGU